UACGGAGGGUGCAAGCGUUGCUCGGAAUCACUGGGCGUAAAGCGUCCGCAGGCGGUGUGAUAAGUCGGGUGUGAAAGCCCAGGGCUCAACCCUGGAACUGCAUUCGAAACUGUCACGCUUGAGUACGGGAGAGGGAAGCGGAAUUCCUGGUGUAGAGGUGAAAUUCGUAGAUAUCAGGAGGAACACCGGUGGCGAAAGCGGCUUCCUGGCCCGAUACUGACGCUCAUGGACGAAAGCGUGGGGAGCAAACAGG
This 253-nucleotide ribosomal RNA is filed under the name uncultured bacterium. Its description in RNAcentral is "partial 16S ribosomal RNA". It matches the Rfam family "Bacterial small subunit ribosomal RNA", at positions 524 to 776 of the family's 1533-position model. The record is from RNAcentral.